RNAcentral lists this ribosomal RNA (497 nucleotides) under uncultured bacterium. RNAcentral describes it as "partial 16S ribosomal RNA". It matches the Rfam family "Bacterial small subunit ribosomal RNA", at positions 28 to 507 of the family's 1533-position model. The record is from RNAcentral.
GAUGAACGCUGGCGGCGUGCCUAAUACAUGCAAGUCGAGCGAACGGACGUGAAGCUUGUUUCUCUGAUGUUAGGGGCGGACGGGUGAGUAACACGUGGAUAACCUACCUAUUAGACUGGGAUUACUUCGGGAAACCGGAGCUAAUACCGGAUAAUAUUUUGAACCGCAUGGUUCAACAGUGAAAGACGGUCUUGCUGUCACUUAUAGAUGGAUCCGCGCUGCAUUAGCUAGUUGGUAAGGUAACGGCUUACCAAGGCAACGAUGCAUAGCCGACCUGAGAGGGUGAUCGGCCACACUGGAACUGAGACACGGUCCAGACUCCUACGGGAGGCAGCAGUAGGGAAUCUUCCGCAAUGGGCGAAAGCCUGACGGAGCAACGCCGCGUGAGUGAUGAAGGUCUUCGGAUCGUAAAACUCUGUUAUUAGGGAAGAACAUAUGUGUAAGUAACUGUGCACAUCUUGACGGUACCUAAUCAGAAAGCCACGGCUAACUACGUG